RNAcentral lists this ribosomal RNA (184 nucleotides) under Escherichia coli. RNAcentral's name for it is "partial 23S ribosomal RNA". It matches the Rfam family "Bacterial large subunit ribosomal RNA", at positions 1 to 176 of the family's 2925-position model. Lineage: Bacteria; Pseudomonadati; Pseudomonadota; Gammaproteobacteria; Enterobacterales; Enterobacteriaceae. The record is from RNAcentral.
GGGUUGUGAGGUUAAGCGACUAAGCGUACACGGUGGAUGCCCUGGCAGUCAGAGGCGAUGAAGGACGUGCUAAUCUGCGAUAAGCGUCGGUAAGGUGAUAUGAACCGUUAUAACCGGCGAUUUCCGAAUGGGGAAACCCAGUGUGAUUCGUCACACUAUCAUUAACUGAAUCCAUAGGUUAAUG